Molecule: ribosomal RNA, 210 nt
Filed under: uncultured bacterium
Lineage: Bacteria
Description: partial 16S ribosomal RNA
Rfam family: Bacterial small subunit ribosomal RNA
Source: RNAcentral
UACGUAGGGUGCGAGCGUUGUCCGGAAUUAUUGGGCGUAAAGAGCUUGUAGGCGGUUUGUCGCGUCUGCUGUGAAAAUCCGGGGCUCAACCCCGGACUUGCAGUGGGUACGGGCAGACUAGAGUGUGGUAGGGGAGACUGGAAUUCCUGGUGUAGCGGUGAAAUGCGCAGAUAUCAGGAGGAACACCGAUGGCGAAGGCAGGUCUCUGGG